ACGCACGCUGGCGGCGUGCUUAACACAUGCAAGUCGAACGGAAAGGCCCUGCUUUUGUGGGGUGCUCGAGUGGCGAACGGGUGAGUAACACGUGAGUAACCUGCCCUUGACUUUGGGAUAACUUCAGGAAACUGGGGCUGAUACCGGAUAGGAGCUCCUGCUGCAUGGUGGGGGUUGGAAAGUUUCGGCGGUUGGGGAUGGACUCGCGGCUUAUCAGCUUGUUGGUGGGGUAGUGGCUUACCAAGGCUUUGACGGGUAGCCGGCCUGAGAGGGUGACCGGCCACAUUGGGACUGAGAUACGGCCCAGACUCCUACGGGAGGCAGCAGUGGGGAAUAUUGCACAAUGGGCGGAAGCCUGAUGCAGCAACGCCGCGUGCGGGAUGACGGCCUUCGGGUUGUAAACCGCUUUCGCCUGUGACGAAGCGUGAGUGACGGUAAUGGGUAAAGAAGCACCGGCUAACUACGUG
RNAcentral lists this ribosomal RNA (467 nucleotides) under uncultured bacterium. RNAcentral's name for it is "partial 16S ribosomal RNA". It matches the Rfam family "Bacterial small subunit ribosomal RNA", at positions 29 to 507 of the family's 1533-position model. The record is from RNAcentral.